This 253-nucleotide ribosomal RNA is filed under the name uncultured bacterium. RNAcentral's name for it is "partial 16S ribosomal RNA". It matches the Rfam family "Bacterial small subunit ribosomal RNA", at positions 524 to 776 of the family's 1533-position model. The record is from RNAcentral.
UACAGAGGGUGCAAGCGUUGCUCGGAAUCAUUGGGCGUAAAGGGUAGGUAGGUGGUCUCAUUUGUCUGGGGUGAAAGCCCAGGGCUUAACCCUGGAAGUGCCCCGGAAACGGUGAGACUGGAGUAUUGGAGAGGGUCGUGGAAUUCCCGGUGUAGUGGUGAAAUGCGUAGAGAUCGGGAGGAACACCUGUGGCGAAGGCGGCCGACUGGGCCGUCCCUGACGCUGAGGCGCGAAAGCGUGGGGAGCGAACCGG